UUACGGGAGGCAGCAGUGGGGAAUUUUGCGCAAUGGGCGAAAGCCUGACGCAGCAACGCCGCGUGAGGGACGAAGGCCUUCGGGUUGUAAACCUCUUUUAACUGGGAAGAAACACCUCCAAGCAAAUAGUGCGGAGGCUUGACGGUACCGGUUGAAUAAGCCACGGCUAACUCUGUGCCAGCAGCCGCGGUAAGACAGAGGUGGCAAGCGUUGUUCGGAUUUAUUGGGCGUAAAGAGCGCGUAGGCGGUCUCUUAAGUCGGUGGUGAAAUCCCGGGGCUUAACCCCGGAAUCGCCCUCGAUACUGGGAGACUUGAGUGCGGGAGAGGGUAGUGGAAUUCCCAGUGUAGAGGUGAAAUUCGUAGAUAUUGGGAAGAACACCGGUGGCGAAGGCGGCUACCUGGACCGCAACUGACGCUGAGGCGCGAAAGCGUGGGGAGCAAACAGGAUUAGAUACCCCGGUAGC
This 464-nucleotide ribosomal RNA is filed under the name uncultured bacterium. RNAcentral describes it as "bacterial SSU rRNA". It matches the Rfam family "Bacterial small subunit ribosomal RNA", at positions 339 to 794 of the family's 1533-position model. The record is from RNAcentral.